AUUGAACGCUGGCGGCAUGCCUUACACAUGCAAGUCGAACGGCAGCACGGGAGCAAUCCUGGUGGCGAGUGGCGAACGGGUGAGUAAUACAUCGGAACGUGCCCAAUCGUGGGGGAUAACGCAGCGAAAGCUGUGCUAAUACCGCAUACGAUCUACGGAUGAAAGCAGGGGAACGCAAGACCUUGCGCGAAUGGAGCGGC
This 200-nucleotide ribosomal RNA is filed under the name uncultured bacterium. RNAcentral's name for it is "partial 16S ribosomal RNA". It matches the Rfam family "Bacterial small subunit ribosomal RNA", at positions 30 to 230 of the family's 1533-position model. The record is from RNAcentral.